UGAGGAAUUUUCCGCAAUGGGCGAAAGCCUGACGGAGCGACGCCGUGUGGGUGAUGAAGAUCUUCGGAUCGUAAAACCCUGUCAGUAGGGAUGAUAAUGACAGUACCUGCAGAGGAAGCCCCGGCUAACUACGUGCCAGCAGCCGCGGUAAUACGUAGGGGGCAAGCGUUGUCCGGAAUCAUUGGGCGUAAAGGGCAUGUAGGUGGUUUUGCAAGUCAGGUGUAAAAGGCCUCAGCUCAACUGAGGUAGGCAUUUGAUACUGCAAAGCUAGAGAGCAUCAGAGGAAAGCGGAACUACCGGUGUAGCGGUGAAAUGCGUAGAUAUCGGUAGGAACACCAGUGGCGAAGGCGGCUUUCUGGGAUGUUUCUGACACUGAGGUGCGAAAGCUAGGGGAGCAAACGGG
Molecule: ribosomal RNA, 403 nt
Filed under: uncultured bacterium
Lineage: Bacteria
Description: bacterial SSU rRNA
Rfam family: Bacterial small subunit ribosomal RNA
Source: RNAcentral